CGAACGGCUGAGUAACACGUAGGUGACCUGCCCCGAAGUUUGGGAUAACAACUCGAAAGAGUUGCUAAUACCGGAUGUGACCACCGAUUCAUUUCGGUGCUUAAAGUCGUAAGACGCCUUGGGAGGGGCCUGCGGCGGAUUAGCUAGUUGGUGUGGUAACGGCAUACCAAGGCUUCGAUCCGUAGCUGGUCUGAGAGGAUGGCCAGCCAGACUGGGACUGAGACACGGCCCAG
RNAcentral lists this ribosomal RNA (233 nucleotides) under uncultured bacterium. Its description in RNAcentral is "partial 16S ribosomal RNA". It matches the Rfam family "Bacterial small subunit ribosomal RNA", at positions 99 to 334 of the family's 1533-position model. The record is from RNAcentral.